GGGGAAGUCGGGGUUGGGGGGCAGGGAGCAACGAGGAGAUCAGUAGCAUCUGCUACAGGAAGGUGACAUUAUUAUCCCUAUUUUCCAGAUGAGGAAACUGAGAGAGAAGUUGAGUAACCUACAGCAAAUGAUGGAAUUUGAAUUUAGUGUAUUUGAUUGCAUAACCCACAAUUUUAACUACCACUUUAAUGGAACUCAUUUAUGAAUUGAAUAAACAUUUCUUGGGCAUAUCCUAUAUGCCAAACAUCCAGUGCUAGGGAUAUAAUGACAGGCAAAACACAGAUCUACUCUUGAGGAUCUCACGGCUUGGUAGUGACUUAUCCAGAAUUAGUCGGUAGCAGACCUGGGAUGAUAACCUAGGGCUUCAGUGACUGGCACAGUGUUCUUUGCUCUCCUCAAGCUGCGCUAUGGACCCACAGGGGAGUCUACUAGCAAAGGAGUUGGAAGACCACAGCGUAUACUCCAGCAUGGGUUGUUUCUCCAGGAAGCUGGCAGGUAGAUUCUACUGCUGUGCUUCUUCUACAGGUGAGAAAACAAAGGCCAUAGAAGGUGAAGUAACAGGGUCACAAAAAGCUUAAGUAACUUGUUCAAGAUCACAGAGCUAAAAAGUGACAGAGGCAAGAUUUGAAACCAGGAAGGCUGACAGAGCUCCUGCUCUCAACACCUGCGAUGGGACCUUGGGCACAUUUCUUCACUUUGCCGCAAUCAGCUCCUUCUUGGCCCUGAGAAGGGACCUCCUUCCACCUGGUCUGGGCUGGAGAAGCAGUGUCAGGACUGUCUGCAAUAUCAAGAGUGGCACCAGGCAUGCAGAGUUGCCGAUCAGCACUUCAUGGACACUUCUGAACUUAGAUUGUCUACUGAGUGGCCUGUGGCAAAAAAAAGAGGUUCUGAAUUCCCUUUGUUCUCCCCUUUUAUGUUGCCCAAAGGAAAACCAAAGCAAAAAACACCCUUUGAAGCUGUCUUCUAUAUGAAAAAAUAAACAGACCCCUUUGCAAUGAGAGCCUCGGAGCAGGAUUUCAGUAAAGCUGCCCUGAUUGCCAGUGCCCUGAUGAUGACUGCCCCAUGAAAGGAGGAUGGCUACAGAGCCUGCAGCCAGAGCCAACUCUUUACAUUUUUUUAUCCCAUUCACCAAAUUCUGUUCCUGACAAUUUCCAUUCUUUUAAGCCACACCAAUGAGAUUCUUUGAGCAUCCUUUACAUAAUAAAAAGUCAAUUAGUAUGCUAUUUCUUUCUUUCUUUUUUCUUUCUUUCAUUCUUUUUUUUUUUGGUGAGGAAUAUUGGCCCUAAGCUAACAUCUGUGCCAAUCUUCCUCUAUUUUGUAUAUGGGAUGCCACCACAGCAUGGCUUGAUGAGUGGUGUGUAGGUCCACACCCAGAAUCUGAACCCACAAACCCCAGGCCACCAAAGUGAAGCAUGUGAACUUAACCACUAUGCUACCAGGCUGGCCCCAAUAUGCUAACUAUUAAUAAGCUUGAUUCUUGUAUUCAGAAUGGCAAUGGCUGUGCUUUGAAUUGAUGGAGAGGGAGGUGUGUGUAGGAAAGGAACUGAUCUGGGAUAGUGAUCUUUGCAGCAUCCUCUGGGGUCCUCGUAGAAUUUUUCUUGCCCAUCCAUCCCCCUCCCUGACCCCCAACUCCUUUGAUGACAAGAGUGGUUUUGGCUGUUGUGGUCACUGGUUGCUUUGAAAUAAU
This is a long non-coding RNA of Equus caballus (horse), 1687 nucleotides long. Lineage: Eukaryota; Metazoa; Chordata; Mammalia; Perissodactyla; Equidae. The record is from Ensembl.